This 253-nucleotide ribosomal RNA is filed under the name uncultured bacterium. Its description in RNAcentral is "partial 16S ribosomal RNA". It matches the Rfam family "Bacterial small subunit ribosomal RNA", at positions 524 to 776 of the family's 1533-position model. The record is from RNAcentral.
UACGAAGGGGGCUAGCGUUGUUCGGAAUGACUGGGCGUAAAGGGCGCGUAGGCGGCGAUGUAAGUCAGGCGUGAAAGCCCCGGGCUCAACCUGGGAACGGCGCUUGAUACUGCGUUGCUUGAGGACGGGAGAGGAUGGUGGAAUUCCCAGUGUAGAGGUGAAAUUCGUAGAUAUUGGGAGGAACACCGGUGGCGAAGGCGGCCAUCUGGACGGAUACUGACGCUGAGACGCGAAAGCGUGGGGAGCAAACAGG